This 433-nucleotide ribosomal RNA is filed under the name uncultured bacterium. RNAcentral describes it as "partial 16S ribosomal RNA". It matches the Rfam family "Bacterial small subunit ribosomal RNA", at positions 29 to 507 of the family's 1533-position model. The record is from RNAcentral.
AACGAACGCUGGCGGCAUGCCUAACACAUGCAAGUCGAACGAGACCUUCGUGUCUAGUGGCGCACGGGUUCGUAACGCGUGGUAACCUGCCCUUAGGUUCGGAAUAACUCCCCUAAAGGUGUUCUAAUACCGGAUAAUGUCUUCUGACCAAAGAUUUAUCGCCUUUGUAUGGGCCCGCGUUGGAUUAGCUUGUUGGUAGGGUAAAAGCCUACCAAGGCGACGAUCCAUAGCUGGUCUGAGAGGAUGAUCAGCCACACUGGGACUGAGACACGGCCCAGACUACUACGGGAGGAAGCAGUGGGGAAUAUUGGAAAAUGGGCGAAAGCCUGAUACAGCAAUGACGCGUGAGUGAUGAAGGCCUUAGGGUUGUAAAGCUAUUUUAACCGGGAUGAUAAUGACAGUAACGGGAGAAUAAGCACCGGCUAACUCCGUG